CCAAUAGCGUAUAUUAAAGUUGUUGCAGUUAAAAAGCUCGUAGUUGAAUUUCAGGCCUGGCUGGACGGUCCGCCCUUCGGGUGAGUACUGUCUGUGGUCGGGUCCUACCUUCUGGCGAAGCGUCAUGGCCUUAACCGGCCGUGGCGGGGAACCAGGACUUUUACUGUGAAAAAAUUAGAGUGUUCAAAGCAGGCAAUCGCUUGGAUACAUUAGCAUGGAAUAAUGGAAUAGGACAAUGGUUCUAUUUGUUGGUUUCUAGGACCGUUGUAAUGAUUAAUAGGGAUAGUUGGGGGCAUUAGUAUUCAAUUGUCAGAGGUGAAAUUCUUGGAUUUAUUGAAGACUAACUAUUGCGAAAGCAUUUGCCAAGGAUGUUUUCAUUAAUCAAGAACGAAAGUUAGGGGAUCGAAGACGAUCAGAUACCGUCGUAGUCUUAACCAUAAACUAUGCCGACUAGGAAUCGGGCGACGUUAUUUCAUGACUCGCUCGGCGCCUUAUG
This 496-nucleotide ribosomal RNA is filed under the name uncultured Glomeromycotina. Its description in RNAcentral is "SSU rRNA". It matches the Rfam family "Eukaryotic small subunit ribosomal RNA", at positions 591 to 1092 of the family's 1831-position model. Lineage: Eukaryota; Fungi; Glomeromycota. The record is from RNAcentral.